This 307-nucleotide long non-coding RNA is filed under the name Diabrotica virgifera virgifera (western corn rootworm). RNAcentral's name for it is "uncharacterized LOC126887655". Lineage: Eukaryota; Metazoa; Arthropoda; Insecta; Coleoptera; Chrysomelidae. The record is from RNAcentral.
GUCAAGUUUUAUUUUUUAGAAAAAUCUUAAAUCAUCGCGUUAAAAUUGUUAUAAAUUAAGUAAUUAUACUGUAGAUAUAGUUAGUUAGUGUUUGAACAUUAAUUUAGUAGUUAAUUUAAAAGUUAAAACGGGAUAAUACGUUAGUAGUGAAUUAGAAAUACUAAGGACUUUUCUAUUCAGGAGCUAUGAGCUUAAGCCCAGAUGUACCUCAGGUACGGCUCUUGAAUAUUCAAGUCUAUAUUCACGGAUCCUGGCCGGAUAGCCCUGGCAGCUAAGGCCAUUCAAAUGAAGAGAAGAAGAAGAAGAA